UCCUGGUUAGUUCAGUUGGUAGAGCUCUCCACUGGAAGUGGAGGGUUCCCUUGUUUGAUACGAGGACCAGGAG
RNAcentral lists this transfer RNA (73 nucleotides) under Ixodes scapularis (black-legged tick). RNAcentral describes it as "tRNA-Ser". It matches the Rfam family "tRNA". Rfam says of the family: Transfer RNA (tRNA) molecules are approximately 80 nucleotides in length. Their secondary structure includes four short double-helical elements and three loops (D, anti-codon, and T loops). Lineage: Eukaryota; Metazoa; Arthropoda; Arachnida; Ixodida; Ixodidae. The record is from RNAcentral.